RNAcentral lists this long non-coding RNA (214 nucleotides) under Homo sapiens (human). Its description in RNAcentral is "HSALNT0338143". The record is from RNAcentral. Lineage: Eukaryota; Metazoa; Chordata; Mammalia; Primates; Hominidae.
GGAGGCGCAUGAGGGCUGGAGACGCGGAAGGCGCAUGGGGCGCAGCAGGCUCACGGGCUGCCAUGGCUCCCAGUUCGACAUCAUGUCACCGGAGCCUGCACAGAUGAACCAAGCUUGCAACACGGGAGGAACCUAAGCGCUGGACUGAGGAGCGGGACUGAAAUAAGAAGCGCACACCACAUGGCAAGAUCCAGGAUCCAAUCAGAUAGAGCCC